This 428-nucleotide ribosomal RNA is filed under the name uncultured bacterium. RNAcentral describes it as "bacterial SSU rRNA". It matches the Rfam family "Bacterial small subunit ribosomal RNA", at positions 355 to 775 of the family's 1533-position model. The record is from RNAcentral.
UGGGGAAUAUUGGACAAUGGGCGAAAGCCUGAUCCAGCCAUGCCGCGUGUGUGAAGAAGGCCUUUUGGUUGUAAAGCACUUUAAGUGGGGAGGAAAAGCUAAUAAUUAAUACCUAUUAGCCCUGACGUUACCCACAGAAUAAGCACCGGCUAACUCUGUGCCAGCAGCCGCGGUAAUACAGAGGGUGCAAGCGUUAAUCGGAAUUACUGGGCGUAAAGCGAGCGUAGGUGGUUACUUAAGUCAGAUGUGAAAGCCCCGGGCUUAACCUGGGAACUGCAUCUGAUACUGGGUAACUAGAGUAGGUGAGAGGGAAGUAGAAUUCCAGGUGUAGCGGUGAAAUGCGUAGAGAUCUGGAGGAAUACCGAUGGCGAAGGCAGCUUCCUGGCAUCAUACUGACACUGAGGUUCGAAAGCGUGGGUAGCAAACAG